CGUUUGAACCGAGCCUUUACCGAAACUGGUAGUGCCAAGAAUUAGCGCUCGUUGAUGGUCUUGUAAAGCGCCAGCGACAAUCUCGGAGGCCGACGCAGAACCGCCAUUGAUUAGCACUACUAAAGGAUAAUCAUAACUGGCUUGAUGGUUGCUAGCGUCAUAUGACAUGGCUGAAUGUUUAAUGCGGCCCUCAGUGUAAACAAUUAAUCCUUGCUCGAUGAAAGCAUCCGUCACCUCAACAGCUGCUUGAAGGAUGCCGCCAGGAUUGUUGCGCA
Molecule: non-coding RNA, 275 nt
Filed under: marine eukaryotic metagenome
Source: RNAcentral